CCUACGGGGUGCAGCAGUGAGGAAUAUUGGUCAAUGGGCGCGAGCCUGAACCAGCCAAGUAGCGUGAAGGAUGACUGCCCUACGGGUUGUAAACUUCUUUUAUAAAGGAAUAAAGUGAGGCCCGUGUGCCUUUUUGUAUGUACUUUAUGAAUAAGGAUCGGCUAACUCCGUGCCAUCAGCCGCGGUAAUACGGGGGAUCCGAGCGUUAUCCGGAUUUAUUUGGUUUAAAGGGAGCGUAGAUGGGUUGUUAAGUCAGUUGUGAAAGUUUGCGGCUCAACCGUAAAAUUGCAAUUGAUACUGGCAGUCUUGAGUACAGUUGAGGUAGGCAGAAGUCGUGGUGUAGCGGUGAAAUGCUUAGAGAUCACGAAGAACUCCGAUUGCGAAGGCAGCUUACUAAACUGCCACUGACAUUGAUGCUCGAAAGUGUGGGUAUCAAACAGGAUUAGAUACCCCUGUAGUC
RNAcentral lists this ribosomal RNA (460 nucleotides) under uncultured bacterium. RNAcentral's name for it is "partial 16S ribosomal RNA". It matches the Rfam family "Bacterial small subunit ribosomal RNA", at positions 338 to 795 of the family's 1533-position model. The record is from RNAcentral.